CUCACGACUCAUCCCGUCUCCACCUCAGCCUCCGUCGCAGCCACUACCACCUCCAUCGCCACCGUCUCCACCUCCGCGGCUGUAGCCCAAGGAUCCACUCCUCCCUCUCGUGACUGCAGCCGUUGCUUCCUCCUGCCGCACCGCCGAGGCCACCACGAAGGGACAACUUUGGUUCUCGGCCUUCCCCCACCGAUUCCCUACCCUCGUUUGAUUGUCCCUCCUCCGAUGGCCCAGCGGCGGUAUCACCUCUUGCUCGCCGUCGCAUUCUUCCUCCACGUCAGGUGUGCCUCAGUUCAGAUCCAGGGUGUGAGCAAGGUUGAGUCUGCCUCUGAUUACAGCGUUGUUCAUGGCAAGUUGAUUAGCUAGCGGUAUAUCUAUGUGCUAGCAUGGCACAUGCGUGUGAUACCUUGCUUGUAUAUGAGGAUAUGUGUGUUCACUUUUGCCAAGAAGUUUGGAUUAGGGCCUCAUACCUUACUACAAACAGAACUAGUUUAGUUAGUAAACCUUACGCUUAGAGACUUGUUCCUUCUAUUUUAAUAGCAUGCUUGGCAAUUAUGGUUUAAAUUUUUACGGACCUUGUUUAGUGGUUUUAUUAAAGAAUAGUAGUUGUUUGCGAGAAAUAUGCUGAUUGAAUCUUGCUUUUGUAAUAAGAUAGCUAUUGUAUUGAGACAAUGAGACACAACUAUAGUUUUCUAUACAUACCAGAUAGUUCAACAAUCAGUCUAUUUGGUUGAAGAAGAAAAUUACUCCAUAGGUAUGAUCCUUUCAAAUUUCUGCUUGUUAUGUUAUUUUGGAGUAGCACGCUCUCUUGGCUCUCUUGUUUAUGAUUGCAUCCUUCAUAUGAGCGAUAAGUCCAAAGAUUAAACCACUCUCAAAUAGCCUAUAGAUGAUUUCAUGGUUUCUGUAUCUUACCAGUGAGAUGCCUUUUUCUAGUUAUGCUACUAUAUGUGUAGACCCUCCCAGAUUUUGUCCACAUGACGUUGUAAAUCUUCUUUCUCCAUCUACGAUGAACUUAUAACGAUGAGCUCCAGAUGAAAGCAUCAAUAGAGUGGUGUGAUCUUUGCCAGAUUUUUCAACGGUUUCCUAUCAUGCAUAUUAACCGUGUCAGAACUAAGAUAUUUCUAUCGUUAAGUUUCAGUUUCAAAGAAAAUGGAAUGGAAUGUGUGCCUUUUAUCUGUCUAAUGAAUGUACUUUGAUGCCCAGUUAUCCCAUGAUCCUUCCACAUGGAUAUAUUUUUCUCUCCAAGAGUUCAAGUAAGCAAAGUAGGAAUUUUCUUUUGAGGUGGGCCGUUAGAAUCCUCAUAUUGUUCAUGCAUCAAUAUCUAGUUGAACACUGGAGGUACUUCGGUAGCUCUUUGCAAUGGAAUCACUGAGCUUUGCAAUAUGAAAUAUAUCAAUGCCUUUACAAAUAUAUUUAUAUCAACAGGAGAACGAUGCAUGAGAUGAGAUCGAAACAUACAUUAGUCUACUUUCAUGGAUAUUGAAGACACUAAUCAUACUAUAUUCUGAUAUUGGCGAUGUGAAGAAUUGGUAUAUUUGAGGUAUCUAGCAAAUACAAAUUUGCAAUGAACUGGGUAACUAUUAUUUGCAAACCGAAACUUUUAUACCUGACAUUUCUAAGAUUUCCGUGUUACUAAACUAUAUUUUGAUCACACUUGUGCUCUUUGAUAUUACUAGGAAACACUUAACCAGUUGGCUCUUUGAAUUAUAUUUGUUCCAACUGGAACCAUGGACUUUGUUUAUUUUUACUACCAAGAUGACUGUGUUUGACAAUGAAUCACCUCUGCUUCCUAUAGGUUUAUUUAUCUGUUCAUUGGUAUCAGUGCUAGCGUCUUCCUGAUGUCUCUGUUUGGCUGCAUCGGAGCAGGGACAAGAAACAUCUGCUGCUUGUGUUUCAUAUCUUGUGGUUGUGUUUCUUAACUCAUCAUUGUGUUCUCCAUUCUGAAAAAGAUUCUGGUUGCUAUGCACAAGGCACUGAACAUGGGCUAUUAGACACUUGGAAUUAUGUUGGAUCUUUGUACUUGGACUAUUAAUGUCAUGCUCUUUAUGCUUGUUUUUA
Phragmites australis (common reed) is the source of this 2058-nucleotide long non-coding RNA. RefSeq lists it as uncharacterized. NCBI's taxonomy places the organism in Eukaryota, Viridiplantae, Streptophyta, Magnoliopsida, Poales, Poaceae. The transcript is spliced from 2 exons. The record is from RefSeq and is a predicted model, not a curated record.